GAGAAGAUCAACAGGGAUUGCCCUAGUAACGGCGAGUGAAGCGGCAACAGCUCAAAUUUGAAAUCUGGCCCCUUUUCGGGGUCCGAGUUGUAAUUUGCAGAGGGUGCUUUGGCAUAGGCGGCGGUCUAAGUUCCUUGGAACAGGACAUCGCAGAGGGUGAGAAUCCCGUAUGUGGGCGCCUGCCUUUGCCGUGUAAAGCCCCUUCGACGAGUCGAGUUGUUUGGGAAUGCAGCUCUAAAUGGGAGGUAAAUUUCUUCUAAAGCUAAAUACUGGCCAGAGACCGAUAGCGCACAAGUAGAGUGAUCGAAAGAUGAAAAGUACUUUGGAAAGAGAGUCAAAAAGCACGUGAAAUUGUUGAAAGGGAAGCGCUUGCAGCCAGACUUGCCCGUAGUUGCUCACCCAGGCUUUUGCCCGGGGCACUCUUCUGCGGGCAGGCCAGCAUCAGUUUGGGCGGUUGGAUAAAGGCCUCUGUCACGUAUCUCUCUUCGGGGAGACCUUAUAGGGGAGGCGUAAUGCGACCAGCCCGGACUGAGGUCCGCGCAUCUGCUAGGAUGCUGGCGUAAUGGCUGUAAGCGGCCCGUCUUGAAACACGGACCAAGGAGUCUAACAUCUAUGCGAGUGUUUGGGUGUCAAGCCCGGGCGCGCAAUGAAAGUGAACGGAGGUGGGAACCCCUCGGGGUGCACCAUCGACCGAUCCUGAAGUCUUCGGAUGGAUUUGAGUAAGAGCAUAGCUGUUGGGACCCGAAAGAUGGUGAACUAUGCUUGAAUAGGGUGAAGCCAGAGGAAACUCUGGUGGAGGCUCGCAGCGGUUCUGACGUGCAAAUCGAUCGUCAAAUUUGGGCAUAGGGGCGAAAGACUAAUCGAGCAUCAUU
Molecule: ribosomal RNA, 872 nt
Filed under: Pleosporales sp.
Lineage: Eukaryota; Fungi; Ascomycota; Dothideomycetes; Pleosporales
Description: partial 28S ribosomal RNA
Rfam family: Eukaryotic large subunit ribosomal RNA
Source: RNAcentral